ACAUCGUGACAAAGGGAGAUUAUCGAACAAGUAUUUCACUACCCCCCAAAAUUAUAUAUACUGUGUUGGACAAAUUCUUCAGAAAUUGUCCCUCUUGCGCCUUUAAGUCAGGGGUGUCCAAACUCAGUCCUCAAGGGCCGCUGUGCUGCCUGUUUUCCAUUUGAACCAGGUGUGUCGCAGCCAGGAGUGAUGAAAAACAGGCAGCGCAGUGGCCCUCCAGGCCCGGAGAUGGACAUGCCUGCUUUAAAGUGUUCUCGCAAC
This is a long non-coding RNA of Hippocampus comes (tiger tail seahorse), 261 nucleotides long. RefSeq lists it as uncharacterized. The transcript has 3 exons. The record is from RefSeq and is a predicted model, not a curated record. NCBI's taxonomy places the organism in Eukaryota, Metazoa, Chordata, Actinopteri, Syngnathiformes, Syngnathidae.